RNAcentral lists this ribosomal RNA (477 nucleotides) under uncultured bacterium. RNAcentral's name for it is "partial 16S ribosomal RNA". It matches the Rfam family "Bacterial small subunit ribosomal RNA", at positions 28 to 523 of the family's 1533-position model. The record is from RNAcentral.
GACGAACGCUGGCGGCGUGCUUAACACAUGCAAGUCGAACGGUAAGGCCCUUCGGGGUACACGAGUGGCGAACGGUGAGUAACACGUGGGUGAUCUGCCCUGCACUUCGGGAUAAGCCUGGGAAACUGGGUCUAAUACCGGAUAGGACUCCUGGCUUCAUGGUUGGGGGUGGAAAGCUUUUGCGGUGUGGGAUGGGCCCGCGGCCUAUCAGCUUGUUGGUGGGGUAAUGGCCUACCAAGGCGACGACGGGUAGCCGGCCUGAGAGGGUGACCGGUCACACUGGGACUGAGAUACGGCCCAGACUCCGACGGGAGGCAGCAGUGGGGAAUAUUGCACAAUGGGCGCAAGCCUGAUGCAGCGACGCCGCGUGAGGGAUGACGGCCUUCGGGUUGUAAACCUCUUUCAGCUAUGACGAAGCGCAAGUGACGGUAGUAGCAGAAGAAGGACCGGCCAACUACGUGCCAGCCGCCGCGGUAA